This 293-nucleotide ribosomal RNA is filed under the name uncultured bacterium. Its description in RNAcentral is "partial 16S ribosomal RNA". It matches the Rfam family "Bacterial small subunit ribosomal RNA", at positions 775 to 1067 of the family's 1533-position model. The record is from RNAcentral.
GGAUUAGAUACCCUGGUAGUCCACGCCGUAAACGAUGUCUACUAGCUGUCUGUGGUUUUAAAUCGUGGGUAGCGCAGCUAACGCACUAAGUAGACCGCCUGGGGAGUACGGCCGCAAGGUUAAAACUCAAAUGAAUUGACGGGGGCCCGCACAAGCGGUGGAGCAUGUGGUUUAAUUCGAUGCAACGCGAAGAACCUUACCAUCCCUUGACAUCCUGAGAAGCUAGAAGAGAUUUUAGUGUGCCUUCGGGAACUCAGAGACAGGUGCUGCAUGGCUGUCGUCAGCUCGUGCCG